This 2671-nucleotide long non-coding RNA is filed under the name Lupinus angustifolius (narrow-leaved blue lupine). Its description in RNAcentral is "long non-coding RNA (LANG_LNC000604)". The record is from RNAcentral. Lineage: Eukaryota; Viridiplantae; Streptophyta; Magnoliopsida; Fabales; Fabaceae.
UCAUCACACACCAUGGCAGUACACCCAAACAUGGGGACGAAUCCUAAGUAACAAACAUAAGAUCACAACUCAUAACAAUUUACUAUUAUGGUAUAUAUUCCAUAUAAGCUAAGCAAGCACAAAUAUAAGGUAACAUGUCCUUAACUGCAUUCAUAUUCAGAGAGCUCUCCCACUGUGUCAGGUACAAGAAGCUGCAUAAUGCUUAUGAUGAUGCAAAGAAAAUAGCAGCUGAAAAAUCUGGAGUCUGUCCUGUCUUCCUAUUUUUUUCUGUGAGUUUCCAUUAUGAUGUUUCAAUGAGUUUUGAUUCUGGUUUUUUCUUAUUUUUUAUAUGCAAGCCAAUUCCAUUAUGCUUGCCACACUGACAUUUCAUUUUAUUUUUUAUUUAAUGCAGGUUAAUGCAAGUGGUCAGUUCUGUGGGGUUGCUGAGAUGUCUGGUCCAGUUGAUUAUAACAAGGAUAUGAACUUUUGGCAGCAAGAUAAAUGGAGUGGGAGCUUCCCUGUAAAAUGGCACUUCAUUAAAGACAUUCAAAAUUCAAAUUUUAGGCACAUUAUAUUAGAGAACAACGAGCACAAGCCAGUGACUAAUAGUAGAGACACUCAAGAGGUAUACAUAUCAUUAUUAUUUCUGCCUAGCAACUCUUGUUAAAUUAAGAAUUGGCAGGAUUUCUCUUAACCUUUAACAUGAGUCUGUAAGUUUAUACUUGAGUAGUUUCCUUAAACUUGUUACAUGUGUUUGUGGUUUCAUUGUGGCUUUGUUUUGAUUCAUUAUAUUUUUCCUUUAUUACUUAGUUCAAACAUUGACUAUUAAAUGUCCCUUGCCUAUGCGCAGAUAAUGUAUCAGAAAGGUUUAGAAAUGCUGAAAAUAUUCAAAAACCAUACUUUGAAGACAUCUUUGCUAGAUGACUUUAUGUACUAUGAAAACCGUCAAAAGAUCAUGCAAGAUGAGAAAGCAAAGUUCAUGAUCAAGAGUUUUGAAAGUCCAUUUAUACCACCUUUGGAAGCUCCACGUAAGUUAAAUUUUGUUGUGAACACACCUGGGGUCAAUGAUGACAAGAAUUCAAAGCCUAAGGAGGAUGUUGGUAGCUUAAAGCAAACUUCAACUUCCAGUUUUGAGCAAAUUGUCAACACUUCUAAUGUCCCUAGCAUCAAGUCAGUUGAUGACAAGGUUGAGAAAGUUGAAGUUGACAAAGAAGAUAUUUCUUCUAUUUUAAAGAUUGGCUCAGUCACUAUUACCCCAAAACUAGUUGGAAAAAAGCAAUCCCUUGGUUCUAGUAAUAAAGAACCAACUGAUGUUGUUACAGUAGGGUCAAUGCAAGUCAAAGUUAAAGGAUUUGCAGAAUCUUCUGGUAUCUUGAAGGUUGGCAGUAUCCCACUUGAUACUAGAUCAUUGCAACCAAGGAAAGGAGAUGGUGCUAUUAAAAAUGGAUCUCAACGUUAAAUUUUGCAUCUGCAUUUUGAAGGCACUGUUUGGUUCUUGUUUUAUUUUUGGUGAAGUUGGAUUAAUAUCUCUACCCAAUUGUAUAAAACAAUUGGGAAUUUGAGUUUCUCUUCCAUCUUUUCUCACUGCUCUUUUGGAUUUUCUUGAGACUGAAGUGAUGCCAUUGGUCUUGGAAAGGUGUUAGUGCUGACUCAAAAGUUUCAUGAAAGUAUAACCUCUUUUUUGCUUUGAGAAAAAUGCUUAAACUUUCGUCCAACUCCAUUUUCUGUGAUUCGGCUAUAUUAACAAUAUUUCAUGUCCGUUCUAUUGUCUUUGAAAGUAUUUCAUUUGGUUUUAAAGAUGAGGAACUGUAAUAAUUACUGAAUUAGAGCUUCAUUUUAAGAACAUAUAAUAUCUUUGUUUGGUUAUCUUGUCUCUUUUAUAGCUUGAAUGACUCUGUUUUCCAUCUUUCUACCUUGCUGUGUUUUAAUCUAUAGGAAUGAAAUUAUUAGGUGGUCUUUAGGAUGCAUCACACUGCCAUCCAAUAUUAUUAGGUGAUGUAUAAUGGCAUUCAACUUGGAAUAUGAUGUGUGUGGAGCUAUUUUCUCUAUGACACCAACAUCAUGACUCAAUUUUAGUCUCACUUCAAAUAAAUCCUAGCUGUUAGUUGCUAAGGUCGGCUACAUUUGUCUUAAAUAAUGUUAAUGUACAACAAUUGGUUUAAUUCUAAGAGAGAAAGUCUCAUCAAGAAGUUUUGCUUAUGUUUUUUUCUUGGUGUCCCUCUAAAAAUAUUAGAUUAACAUUCAUUUGAUAUAAUCUUCUUAAUCAUGCUUCUAACGUUCUCUCCAUAUAAUCAAACCACAUAAGAUAUAAUUCUACCUUAUUUUCUAUAAUAGGAAUUAACCCAACUUUUUCAUACUUAUUACAAUGUAGGUCCCUAAAAAAUAGACCAAAUUCCUAUAUAUCAUGUCUACUCAUCACACACCAUGGCAGUACACCCAAACAUGGGGACGAAUCCUAAGUAACAAACAUAAGAUCACAACUCAUAACAAUUUACUAUUAUGGUAUAUAUUCCAUAUAAGCUAAGCAAGCACAAAUAUAAGGUAACAUGUCCUUAACUGCAUUCAUAUUCAGAGAGCUCUCCCACUGUGUCAGGUAAACCUUCUCUUAAGCAAUCAAGUGGAGGUAUAGUCACAGUUUCUUGAGUUCCAUAAGCAUUCCAACAAAAAGGGUCAUCAAGUAAUUCUCCUUCAU